CAAUAGCGUAUAUUUAAGUUGUUGCAGUUAAAAAGCUCGUAGUUGGAUUUCGGGUGGGACGCAGCGGUCUCGCAUUGCGUUUGUACUGCUGCAGCCCUCCUUCUUGCCGGGGGCGGCCUCUCGGACUUCACUGUCUGGGGGUCAGAAUCGGCGAUGUUACUUUGAGUAAAUUAGAGUGUUCAAAGCAAGCUUACGCUCUGAAUAUAAUAGCAUGGGAUAACACGACAGGACUCUGGCCUAUCGUGUUGGUCUAUAGGACCAGAGUAAUGAUUAAUAGGGACUGUCGGGGGCAUUGGUAUUUGACUGUCAGAGGUGAAAUUCUUAGAUUCGUUGAGGACCAACCACUGCGAAAGCAUUUGUCAAGGAUGUCUCCAUUAA
This 378-nucleotide ribosomal RNA is filed under the name uncultured eukaryote. Its description in RNAcentral is "partial 18S ribosomal RNA". It matches the Rfam family "Eukaryotic small subunit ribosomal RNA", at positions 592 to 976 of the family's 1831-position model. The record is from RNAcentral.